UCAGCUUGUUGGUGGGGUAACGGCCCACCAAGGCUUCGACGGGUAGCCGGCCUGAGAGGGUGACCGGCCACACUGGGACUGAGACACGGCCCAGACUCCUACGGGAGGCAGCAGUGGGGAAUAUUGGACAAUGGGCGAAAGCCUGAUCCAGCAACGCCGCGUGAGGGAUGACGGCCUUCGGGUUGUAAACCUCUUUCAGCAGGGACGGAGCGCAAGUGACGGUACCUGCAGAAGAAGCACCGGCCAACUACGUGCCAGCAGCCGCGGUAAUACGUAGGGUGCGAGCGUUGUCCGGAAUUAUUGGGCGUAAAGGGCUCGUAGGCGGUCUGUCACGUCGGGAGUGAAAACUCAGGGCUUAACCCUGAGCCUGCUUCCGAUACGGGCAGACUAGAGGUAUGCAGGGGAGAAUGGAAUUCCUGGUGUAGCGGUGAAAUGCGCAGANAUCAGGAGGAACACCGGUGGCGAAGGCGGUUCUCUGGG
This 480-nucleotide ribosomal RNA is filed under the name uncultured actinomycete. RNAcentral describes it as "bacterial SSU rRNA". It matches the Rfam family "Bacterial small subunit ribosomal RNA", at positions 241 to 733 of the family's 1533-position model. Lineage: Bacteria; Bacillati; Actinomycetota; Actinomycetes; Actinomycetales. The record is from RNAcentral.